GGCUUCGUAGCUCAACUGGGAGAGUGCUUGCGGCAUUUGGGCAUGCUGUUUUUGUUGCUGGUUCGAAUCCAGCCGAAAUCC
Molecule: transfer RNA, 81 nt
Filed under: Paragonimus westermani
Lineage: Eukaryota; Metazoa; Platyhelminthes; Trematoda; Plagiorchiida; Troglotrematidae
Description: tRNA-Pro
Rfam family: tRNA
About the family: Transfer RNA (tRNA) molecules are approximately 80 nucleotides in length. Their secondary structure includes four short double-helical elements and three loops (D, anti-codon, and T loops).
Source: RNAcentral